CACCCGAUGACUGAAAGCAAGUAUAGGUCUUUUAAACCUAUCAUAGUAGAGGCGCCUACUUCUGGUGG
This 68-nucleotide transfer RNA is filed under the name Homarus americanus (American lobster). Its description in RNAcentral is "tRNA-Lys". The record is from RNAcentral. Lineage: Eukaryota; Metazoa; Arthropoda; Malacostraca; Decapoda; Nephropidae.